RNAcentral lists this long non-coding RNA (551 nucleotides) under Gossypium barbadense (sea-island cotton). RNAcentral describes it as "long non-coding RNA (GBAR_LNC020513)". The record is from RNAcentral. Lineage: Eukaryota; Viridiplantae; Streptophyta; Magnoliopsida; Malvales; Malvaceae.
GGGUGGUCUCGAAAAGACCGACUGGUCCAAAGCCCCAUUCAUAGCCGCAUACAAGAGCUUCCACAUCGACGGGUGCGAGUCGUCGGUGGAAGCCAAGUUCUGCGCCACACAGGGAAAGCGGUGGUGGGACGAAAAGGCAUUCCAGGACCUCGACGCCUAUCAGUGGCGCAGACUGCGUUGGGUCCGCAACAAGUUCACUAUUUACAACUAUUGCAGCGAUAGGGUGAGGUACCCCACAAUGUCGCCCGAGUGCAAGAGAGACAGAGACGCUUGAGUCAUUUCCAUCACCACCGAGUCCAAGUUCCCCAUCAAUUGCUUGUUGGCCUACCAUAUGAGAUCCGUCAUUGUCCUUUAGAUUUCAAUUGCUUGUUGGCCUUCACUUAUUUCCACAUCAAUUUCAUUAUAUGUAAUUUUACUCCUAAAACAUUUGUUUUCGUGAUAAUAUUAUUUAAACAUAGAUUACAAUCUCUUGACAGGGGACAAGAGCAUUAUCUUGUAAGUAUAAGUAUAAGAAGCUUGGAUUCGAUUUCAAGAACUAAAAGUCUAUUUAA